RNAcentral lists this ribosomal RNA (445 nucleotides) under uncultured bacterium. RNAcentral's name for it is "partial 16S ribosomal RNA". It matches the Rfam family "Bacterial small subunit ribosomal RNA", at positions 354 to 796 of the family's 1533-position model. The record is from RNAcentral.
GUGAGGAAUAUUGGACAAUGGGCGCAAGCCUGAUCCAGCCAUGCCGCGUGCAGGAAGACGCAUCUAUGGUGUGUAAACUGCUUUUGUACGGGAAGAAACACUCCCUCGUGAGGGAGCUUGACGGUACCGUAAGAAUAAGGAUCGGCUAACUCCGUGCCAGCAGCCGCGGUAAUACGGAGGAUCCAAGCGUUAUCCGGAAUCGUUGGGUUUAAAGGGUCCGUAGGCGGUUUAAUAAGUCAGUGGUGAAAGCCCAUCGCUCAACGAUGGAACGGCCAUUGAUACUGUUAGACUUGAAUUACAAGGAAGUAACUAGAAUAUGUAGUGUAGCGGUGAAAUGCUUAGAUAUUACAUGGAAUACCAAUUGCGAAGGCAGGUUACUACUUGUGGAUUGACGCUGAUGGACGAAAGCGUGGGGAGCGAACAGGAUUAGAAACCCGUGUAGUCC